Molecule: ribosomal RNA, 490 nt
Filed under: uncultured bacterium
Lineage: Bacteria
Description: partial 16S ribosomal RNA
Rfam family: Bacterial small subunit ribosomal RNA
Source: RNAcentral
GAUGAACGCUAGCUACAGGCUUAACACAUGCAAGUCGAGGGGCAGCAUGGUCUUAGCUUGCUAAGGCCGAUUGCGACCGGCGCACGUGUGAGUAACACGUAUCCAACCUGCCGUCUACUCUUGGACAGCCUUCUGAAAGGAAGAUUAAUACAAGAUUGCAUCAUGAGUCCGCAUGUUCACAUGAUUAAAGGUAUUCCGGUAGACGAUGGGGAUGCGUUCCAUUAGAUAGUAGGCGGGGUAACGGCCCACCUAGUCUUCGAUGGAUAGGGGUUCUGAGAGGAAGGUCCCCGACAGGGGAACUGAGACACGGUCCAAACUCAUACGGGAGGCAGCAGUGAGGAAGAUUGGUCAAGGGGCGCAGGCCUGAACCAGGCAAGUAGCGUGAAGGAUGACUGCCCUAUGGGUGAUAAACUUCUUUUAUAAAGGAAUAAAGUCGGGUAUGGAUACCCGUUUGAAUGUACUUGAUGAAUAAGGAUCGGCUAACUACGUG